This 445-nucleotide ribosomal RNA is filed under the name uncultured bacterium. RNAcentral describes it as "partial 16S ribosomal RNA". It matches the Rfam family "Bacterial small subunit ribosomal RNA", at positions 354 to 796 of the family's 1533-position model. The record is from RNAcentral.
GUAAGGAAUAUUGGACAAUGGACGCAAGUCUGAUCCAGCCAUGCCGCGUGAAGGAUUAAGGUCCUCUGGAUUGUAAACUUCUUUUAUAAGGGACGAAAAAAGGCUUUUCUAAGUCGUCUGACGGUACCUUAGGAAUAAGCACCGGCUAACUCCGUGCCAGCAGCCGCGGUAAUACGGAGGGUGCAAGCGUUAUCCGGAUUCACUGGGUUUAAAGGGUGCGUAGGCGGGCAGGUAAGUCAGUGGUGAAAUCCUAGAGCUUAACUCUAGAACUGCCAUUGAUACUAUCUGUCUUGAAUAUUGUGGAGGUAAGCGGAAUAUGUCAUGUAGCGGUGAAAUGCUUAGAUAUGACAUAGAACACCUAUUGCGAAGGCAGCUUACUACGCAUAUAUUGACGCUGAGGCACGAAAGCGUGGGGAUCAAACAGGAUUAGAAACCCUGGUAGUCC